This 1010-nucleotide long non-coding RNA is filed under the name Linum usitatissimum (flax). RNAcentral's name for it is "long non-coding RNA (LUSI_LNC004363)". The record is from RNAcentral. Lineage: Eukaryota; Viridiplantae; Streptophyta; Magnoliopsida; Malpighiales; Linaceae.
GAAAAGCCAAGUAUAAUUAAUAUAAAAGUUAUCUCACAGAUUCCGGUGGCCAACAAGUCGGAGUUGCCACUCUCGUUCGAGGAUGAGGCUUUGAGAGCCGAUGAUUUCUCCGGCACCCAACACCCACCGUUGCCAUCCAUUCCACCAUCACCACCCUCACUGCUGCUGCUGCUAACACUACUACUACUACUAGCUAUAUAUCUAUCUAUCUCUUUCUGUCUGUCUCUGUUUCCAUGGAAUCAUACUACUUCUUCUUCUCCUUCUUCUUCUUACUUCUUCUGGGAACAUAGGCUGUGAUGAUACGUCCAGAGAGUUUUUAAUCGGACGGCGAUUUUUGAGGUGCAGGUCUCAGUUCACUAGGUCUGGCUGUUGGGCGUGGCGAUCGAGGCUGGCAGAACUAGCUGCUCCGAUUUCGCAGCCAUCAACUGCCGGUGAUCAUGCGGGCUUCCUACCUUGGACCACCGCCGUCUGAUUAACAAAUGGAAGAUCUGAGCCCUACGAAAUUAUUCACAUUUUCAGUUUUUUUUCCAAGCUAACUCUACUGUUUACUUGGCAUUUUUAAUCAUGGGUUGAUGUCUUCACAACUCUGUAUCCGUUCCAGCCAGUCAGCCACCGGCAAACUUAAAUUUUGUAACAAUAAUUUACACAUGAACUUGUUCCCCCAUGCAUAUUUAUGCUUGGCUUCUUUAAGCCAUAACUGAAUGCAUAUACAUAGUCAGUGAAAUGAAGCUGUGAACUGAAAUGAAUCUGUGUUCACAAGAUUCAUGUAAUUUACAAGACAGACUACCUUCCCAAGUCCUAACACUUACCACAUAAUUGCUGUCAAGAGUCCAGAUUCAUGCAUAAAUUAAACGUUGAUCUUAAGUGAUGGGAAGUGUGAGUUCGUAUAUGACGAACGCGGCUAACUUGCAGGGAGCCGAUCGACAAUUAAUCCAGAUCUCCGGCCGAAUUAUCGGCGUCAAGACGGCGCUGAAUGGAUAUUCUGUGGGCUUUUUUAGAGGUUGUAUGGA